This is a long non-coding RNA of Pundamilia nyererei, 457 nucleotides long. RefSeq lists it as uncharacterized. The record is from RefSeq and is a predicted model, not a curated record. The transcript has 3 exons. NCBI's taxonomy places the organism in Eukaryota, Metazoa, Chordata, Actinopteri, Cichliformes, Cichlidae.
CUGAAUCUCUCUUCAGUUAUUGUCUGCGUCAGUCUUUUGUUUUCACAGAAGAAGACAAGGCAUUUGUGGGUUGUCAAGAUUUAUUAAUCACCUGAUGAAAUUGUAGAUGAAGCUUAGUGAAUUCUCUGUGUUUCUGCUGCUGGUCUGCAUCUCUCUGCAGAGAGCUGACAGCCAUUUACCUAACUUCAGUCCUGGAACUCACCCUCUGCAGGUAAAUGCUUCAAACAUCGCCUCAGCUGUCAAGGAAAACAUCUUCAGACGACUUCCUGGACUUUGUCGGCGUUUGAAGAGACGCAGAGUCACUGUCCUGUGUAACUUGGAGAAGUUCUGUUGGGGGCGGAGUCAGACAAGUCAUUCAGGUCAGCUGUGUCAGUGCCCGCGGGGUUCCAGGUGUUCACAUUUCUUUCUCCACAGCCUCUGAGUGAUAAUGCUUUUUAAUAAAUAUGAGAAAACUUUU